This 216-nucleotide ribosomal RNA is filed under the name Glomeromycotina sp. RNAcentral's name for it is "partial small subunit ribosomal RNA". The stretch from base 40 to 216 matches the Rfam family "Eukaryotic small subunit ribosomal RNA", at positions 686 to 864 of the family's 1831-position model. The record is from RNAcentral. Lineage: Eukaryota; Fungi; Glomeromycota.
GGGUCAGUAGGUUGGUCGUGCCACCGGUACGUACUGGUCUCACUGAUUCCUCCUUCCUGAAGAACCGUAAUGCCAUUAAUUUGGUGUUGCGGGGAAACAGGACUGUUACUUUGAAAAAAUUAGAGUGUUUAAAGCAAGCUAACGCUUGAGUACAUUAGCAUGGAGUAAUGAAAUAGGACGAUCGAUCCUAUUUUGUUGGUUUCUAGGAUUGACGUA